Molecule: ribosomal RNA, 429 nt
Filed under: Newnesia antarctica
Lineage: Eukaryota; Metazoa; Mollusca; Gastropoda; Cephalaspidea; Newnesiidae
Description: partial 16S ribosomal RNA
Rfam family: Archaeal large subunit ribosomal RNA
Source: RNAcentral
AAAAACAUAGCUUGAGGGUUUAAUCUUAAGUUAGACCUGCCCGGUGAUUAUUUUAACGGCCGCGGUACUUUGACCGUGCUAAGGUAGCAUAAUCAGUUGACUUUUAAUUGGAGUCUGGAAUGAAAGGAGAAACGGGAAUUUACUGUCUUUAUUUUAUCUUUUGAAGUUACUAAUUAGGUGAAAAGGCCUAAAAUUGAAAAAAGACGAGAAGACCCUUAGAGUUUAUAAUUUUGUUGGGGCGACAUGAGGGCAAAAUGAACCUCUCAAUGUAUAAGUUACAUGGAAAUUAUUUUAGGUCAGAAUAAACUACCUAAGGGAUAACAGCAUAAUCUUUAUUAGGUUUGUGACCUCGAUGUUGGACUAGGGAAUUUAUUGGUUAGCCGCCAAUAAAAAAAGUUCUGUUCGAACAUAUCCCCCUACGUGAUCUGA